RNAcentral lists this ribosomal RNA (602 nucleotides) under Pseudomonas sp. SA053. Its description in RNAcentral is "bacterial SSU rRNA". It matches the Rfam family "Bacterial small subunit ribosomal RNA", at positions 84 to 682 of the family's 1533-position model. Lineage: Bacteria; Pseudomonadati; Pseudomonadota; Gammaproteobacteria; Pseudomonadales; Pseudomonadaceae. The record is from RNAcentral.
UCCUGAAUUCAGCGGCGGACGGGUGAGUAAUGCCUAGGAAUCUGCCUGGUAGUGGGGGACAACGUCUCGAAAGGGACGCUAAUACCGCAUACGUCCUACGGGAGAAAGCAGGGGACCUUCGGGCCUUGCGCUAUCAGAUGAGCCUAGGUCGGAUUAGCUAGUUGGUGAGGUAAUGGCUCACCAAGGCGACGAUCCGUAACUGGUCUGAGAGGAUGAUCAGUCACACUGGAACUGAGACACGGUCCAGACUCCUACGGGAGGCAGCAGUGGGGAAUAUUGGACAAUGGGCGAAAGCCUGAUCCAGCCAUGCCGCGUGUGUGAAGAAGGUCUUCGGAUUGUAAAGCACUUUAAGUUGGGAGGAAGGGCAUUAACCUAAUACGUUAGUGUUUUGACGUUACCGACAGAAUAAGCACCGGCUAACUCUGUGCCAGCAGCCGCGGUAAUACAGAGGGUGCAAGCGUUAAUCGGAAUUACUGGGCGUAAAGCGCGCGUAGGUGGUUUGUUAAGUUGGAUGUGAAAUCCCCGGGCUCAACCUGGGAACUGCAUUCAAAACUGACAAGCUAGAGUAUGGUAGAGGGUGGUGGAAUUUCCUGUGUAGCGGU